CAGUCGCCGCGGUAAUACGUAGGGCGCAAGCGUUGUCCGGAAUUAUUGGGCGUAAAGAGCUCGUAGGCGGUCUGUCGCGUCUGGUGUGAAAUCCCGAGGCUCAACCUCGGGCUUGCAUCGGGUACGGGCAGACUAGAGUGCGGUAGGGGAGACUGGAAUUCCUGGUGUAGCGGUGGAAUGCGCAGAUAUCAGGAGGAACACCGAUGGCGAAGGCAGGUCUCUGGGCCGCAACUGACGCUGAGGAGCGAAAGCAUGGGGAGCGAACAGGAUUAGAUACCCCCGUAGUCCCUGUCUUUAUACA
RNAcentral lists this ribosomal RNA (301 nucleotides) under uncultured bacterium. RNAcentral's name for it is "partial 16S ribosomal RNA". It matches the Rfam family "Bacterial small subunit ribosomal RNA", at positions 509 to 809 of the family's 1533-position model. The record is from RNAcentral.